AUGAACGAAAGUCUUACGGGUUUGGAAUGACAUGAGGAAGUGUGGAAACAAGCCAUGAGCCGCAAAAGUGCUGUUCUCACAUGCACGUCUUCAGACAAGAAAAGAAAAAACUACAGGUCUCUACAGGUGAGGUAACUUAGACUAGCAAUUACCUUCCAGCAGAAGGCCUGAGAGGAGAGCUAUUGAUUGGACCAAGAGGUCAGAGGGGGUCGACAGCUGCAGGGGCAGCAUGGACGGGGGAAGCACAUGUGAUGGAGGAGGGGUGG
Molecule: long non-coding RNA, 266 nt
Organism: Pimephales promelas (fathead minnow)
Lineage: Eukaryota; Metazoa; Chordata; Actinopteri; Cypriniformes; Leuciscidae
Source: RefSeq, a predicted model, not a curated record